RNAcentral lists this ribosomal RNA (925 nucleotides) under uncultured euryarchaeote. Its description in RNAcentral is "bacterial SSU rRNA". It matches the Rfam family "Archaeal small subunit ribosomal RNA", at positions 368 to 1302 of the family's 1478-position model. Lineage: Archaea; Methanobacteriati; Methanobacteriota. The record is from RNAcentral.
UGACACGGGAAUUUAAUGUGCUUACCGGCUUUGCGUAGGCUUUGCAAGGUCUAAACAGCUUGGAGAAUAAGUGUUGGGUAAGACUGGUGCCAGCAGCCGCGGUAACCCCAGCGCCACGAGUGGGAGUCGCUUUUAUUGGGCCUAAAGCGUUGUAGCCCGUUUGUAAGUCUUUGUGAAAUUGUUAGGCCUAACCUAACAGCGUGCAAGAGAUACUGCAUUUCUAGAGACCGGGAGGAGUGUGAGGUAUUCCAUGGGGAACGGUAAAAUGUAAUAAUCCAUGGGGGACCACCAGUGGCGAAGGCGUCACACUAGAACGGAUCUGACGGUGAGGAACGAAGGCUAGGGGAGCAAAACGGAUUAGAUACCCGAGUAGUCCUGGCAGUAAACUCUGUGUGCUAGGUGUUGCAUUUUCUUGUGAACGUGCAGUAUCGAAGUGAAGACAUUAAGCACACCGCCUGGGUAGUACGGUCGCAAGGCUGAAACUUAAAGGAAUUGGCGGGGGAGCACUACAAGGGGUGCAGCGUGCGGUUCAAUCGAACUCUACGCCGAGAAUCUCACCAGGGGCGACUGCAGAAUGAAGAUCAAGCCGAUGACUUUAUCUGACGAGCAGAGAGGUAGUGCAUGGCCGUCGUCAGCUCGUGCCGCAAGGUGUCCUGUUAAGUCAGGCAACGAGCAAGAUCUGCGUCUACUAUUGCCAGCAGGAGGGUAACCUCGGCUGGGCACAUUGUAGAGACUGCCUUCGAAAGAAGGAGGAAGGUGCAGGCAACGAUAGGUCUGUAUGCUCCGAAUCUCCUGGGCUACACGCGCGCGACAUGGAUAGAACAUGGGCUGCACACCGAAAGGUGAAGCUAAUCCUCGAAAUCUAUUCUUAGUCUGGAUUGAGGAUUAAACUCAUCCUCAUGACACUGAAUCCCUAUAAACCCGA